UACGAUAUAACCAGUUCUGAUAAUAGUGAUAAUAGUGUAAGUUCGUACAUCAAUACUUAAAGGUUCUAGAGAGAACAAGUUCAAAUCUAUAAGAAAAGGGUAGGGGUACAACCAAGCAUGUUACAUAUUUCAUACUAAUCCGACUCGUCUCCUUAGAUAUGGAACAUAGUUAAGGUCUCCAAUUGUCCAGCCAUUAACUUCAUUAAAAUAAGUUAGAGCACGGAUGAGUGCACUCUCCUUCACUUCACAUGGACGGUCACAUAUACUACUAUAAAUCUCGAACAAUGGAGACGUUAACUGAUGUAGCCUGUAGAAAGUGAGAUGAGCAUGGAACUUCCAAUCUCUGGUGAAUAUCGAGUUUCCACACAUGUAAG
RNAcentral lists this long non-coding RNA (374 nucleotides) under Setaria viridis. RNAcentral describes it as "long non-coding RNA (SVIR_LNC005419)". The record is from RNAcentral. Lineage: Eukaryota; Viridiplantae; Streptophyta; Magnoliopsida; Poales; Poaceae.